This is a non-coding RNA of Linepithema humile (Argentine ant), 1072 nucleotides long. The record is from RefSeq and is a predicted model, not a curated record. Lineage: Eukaryota; Metazoa; Arthropoda; Insecta; Hymenoptera; Formicidae.
UUUAAUUUAAUCAUAUGUAGGAUAUUCCAGGGAUAUCUCAAGGAUUUAUUUUUGGAUGUUCUACGGAUAUCUGAAAAGCGGACAUUCGGAUAUCCCACGGAUGCCCUACGAAUAUCUUACGGAUAUCCUACGGCUUUGUACAAACAUCCCAGGGAUAUCUGAAAAUCCUUUUCAUUACAUCCCACGGACAUCCGUAGGAUGAAAUUUUGCUAUGUGGGUGAUUAGGAAGCAGGCUGAUUAAACAACGAUUUGCCUAGUGACAUUCCGAUUUAUAAUUACGUGCUUAAGGACAAUCCAAUAAUGGUUACAGGUUAUUACAGGUUAUCGGGUUGUAUUGUUAUAUAUAUGAAAAAAAGAUGUUUUUUUCAUAUAUUUCUGCCACUUGUUCCUAGCUUUGUUGAUUGACUUCACGACUUUUUGUCUGAGGAAGGAACCAAGAUUGCUUCAGCUUUACAAAAAGAUACAUACAUUCAUAGAUGUAAUGAGCUAUUUCUACCAGCAAGAAUGGACAUUUACUAAUGAUCAAGUACGCGUGAUGAUUGCAAAGUUCACGUUCAAUGAUCGUAAAAACUUUGAUUGCGAUAUAAAGAAUCUCAAUUGGAAAGUUUACUUCAAGAUGUACACGCGCGGACUGAAAGUCAUUAAGGAUCCCCUGGACACUCUACCGCAAGCACGCGCCAAAUGGCAAAGGUCAAAAAAAUGACAUCAUUAUUACGUCUUAAUUUGGUAACAUGACACGUCCGCGACUUCAAAUGACGAACUAUUGACGUCAAAUAGACGACACCUUGCUACCUGGCCAAUUUCUUUAUGCAUAUAUUUAUGUAACUAUGCAAGUUUGUCUGGAUAGGCCCUUACCAUCUGGUACAUAUUCAAAUAAUUUUUAUGCGAAAACAUGCGCAAACGUAUAAUGAUAAAAGGACCAAUUAGAUUGAUUCCCUCCAUUAUGCGCAAAAGCGUAAAGGAGACAAGCAGAAGCAGGUUUACUGGUAAAGUUGGUUAUUGACACCGAUGUGAAGACGUGGUGUAUCAAAUAAAAUAUAUAUUAAUGACGUAAAAGUGAUUUUAUUUCUAA